AUUGAGAUGGCUGAGUAUAAGCAAUAGCCUGUAAAGCUAUCAACGGAUAAUUCCUCUCAAUA
RNAcentral lists this transfer RNA (62 nucleotides) under Tylorrhynchus heterochetus (Japanese palolo). RNAcentral's name for it is "tRNA-Tyr". Lineage: Eukaryota; Metazoa; Annelida; Polychaeta; Phyllodocida; Nereididae. The record is from RNAcentral.